RNAcentral lists this ribosomal RNA (424 nucleotides) under Verrucomicrobiota bacterium. RNAcentral describes it as "Verrucomicrobia bacterium partial 16S ribosomal RNA". It matches the Rfam family "Bacterial small subunit ribosomal RNA", at positions 355 to 776 of the family's 1533-position model. Lineage: Bacteria; Pseudomonadati; Verrucomicrobiota. The record is from RNAcentral.
UGAGGAAUAUUGGUCAAUGGGCGCGAGCCUGAACCAGCCAAGUAGCGUGCAGGAUGACGGCCCUAUGGGUUGUAAACUGCUUUUAUAUGGGGAUAAAGUGGGGAACGUGUUCCCUUUUGCAGGUACCAUAUGAAUAAGGACCGGCUAAUUCCGUGCCAGCAGCCGCGGUAAUACGGAAGGUUCGGGCGUUAUCCGGAUUUAUUGGGUUUAAAGGGAGCGUAGGCCGUUUGGUAAGCGUGUUGUGAAAUGUAGGAGCUCAACUUCUAGAUUGCAGCGCGAACUGUCAGACUUGAGUACGCACAACGUAGGCGGAAUUCAUGGUGUAGCGGUGAAAUGCUUAGAUAUCAUGAAGAACUCCGAUUGCGAAGGCAGCUUACGGGAGCGCAACUGACGCUGAAGCUCGAAGGUGCGGGUAUCGAACAGG